UCGUAACAAGGUUUCCGUAGGUGAACCUGCGGAAGGAUCAUUACUGAGUGAGGGCCCUCUGGGUCCAACCUCCCACCCGUGUUUAUUAUACCUUGUUGCUUCGGCGGGCCCGCCGUCAGGCCGCCGGGGGGCUUCUGCCCCCGGGCCCGCGCCCGCCGAAGACAUCUCGAACUCUGUCUGAAGAUUGUAGUCUGAGUAUAAAUAUAAAUUAUUUAAAACUUUCAACAACGGAUCUCUUGGUUCCGGCAUCGAUGAAGAACGCAGCGAAAUGCGAUACGUAAUGUGAAUUGCAGAAUUCAGUGAAUCAUCGAGUCUUUGAACGCACAUUGCGCCCUCUGGUAUUCCGGAGGGCAUGCCUGUCCGAGCGUCAUUGCUGCCCUCAAGCACGGCUUGUGUGUUGGGCCCCGUCCUCCGAUCCCGGGGGACGGGCCCGAAAGGCAGCGGCGGCACCGCGUCCGGUCCUCGAGCGUAUGGGGCUUUGUCACCCGCUCUGUAGGCCCGGCCGGCGCUUGCCGAUCAACCAAAUUUUUAUCCAGGUUGACCUCGGAUCAGGUAGGGAUACCCGCUGAACCU
RNAcentral lists this unclassified non-coding RNA (573 nucleotides) under Penicillium raistrickii. RNAcentral's name for it is "sequence contains 18S rRNA gene, ITS1, 5.8S rRNA gene, ITS2, 28S rRNA gene". The stretch from base 217 to 370 matches the Rfam family "5.8S ribosomal RNA". The record is from RNAcentral. Lineage: Eukaryota; Fungi; Ascomycota; Eurotiomycetes; Eurotiales; Aspergillaceae.